This 1252-nucleotide long non-coding RNA is filed under the name Ananas comosus (pineapple). RNAcentral describes it as "long non-coding RNA (ACOM_LNC031864)". The record is from RNAcentral. Lineage: Eukaryota; Viridiplantae; Streptophyta; Magnoliopsida; Poales; Bromeliaceae.
AAAAUUAAGUUUUUUUUUUUUUAAAAAAAAUCAUCAUGUAGAAUAUUACAGACCUAUCCGUGUUCGAUAUACUUUUUUUUUUCGUUCAUUUUUUAAAUAAAUUUAGCUAUAAAUGAGAAGCAACUGUGAUCUCGAGUUCCAAUCAGCAAACCCUUUACUACUUGUGUUAGGAAUUGUCGAUAUGUUUAGUAUAUAUUGUAGGCUAGGGCUACUAUACUCUUAUGAGUAUAGAGCCUCUUAUGAGUAUAGAGCCCUUCAUACUUAUAAGUUGUUUUUAAUAAUGGAGCUUUCGAAUCGACGAUCUACUCCGUUAAAUAUGAUCUAAAGCAUUUAAAACUUUUAGAAAAUAAAUUUCGUAAUUUUUCGAAAUCAUAAUAAAGUUCAUCAAGUGGGUAUAAAAUGAACGGUCAAAAUCGAACAACAUAUUAAAAAUGGAUGUUCGGAUCCUUCAAUUUAAGAUCAGAGUUAUUAAUCUUUAUCUAUGUAGUGAAUAGAAUUAUUUCUAUAAAAAAUUCAACCGAUUUCGAUUCUUUUACACCGUUAAACUAGCAAAUAUUCCAUACCGGCAGUUAAAAAUUGUCAAUUUUGUGAUCUUUUGAUUGUAAAGUAAAUAAUGUCGAAAAAUUAUAAAAUUUGAUUUCUAGACGUUUUAAAUGCUCUAGAUAAUGUUUAACGGUGUGGAUCGUCGAUUCAGAAGCUCUAUCAUCGAAAACAACUUAUGAGUACGAAAGCGAUUGUGCUCAUAAGAGUAUAGUAGCCGGACUCUAUAUUGUAACUCAACAUUUUUUGAUUAAUUUAAGAAUGUGUGGUUGUAGGGCUUAAAAACAUGGAGUUGACUGGGCCAGUAGGCCCAUUUAUUCCAGCCCAAAUAGCAUUUAAACCCCGAAAACAAGUUGGGCUGUUCUCGAAACAUUCCGCGCUUUGUUUGCACUUGUAUUCAGCUCAGGCGAAGAUCGCACUAGUGGAUUUAAAAUUGGAUACUCUUUUUCAGUCGCUAAUCACUUGUUUUAUUUACAUUGUGAUUCUUGAUCUUCAUCACCUCACCGCUCAUGUCGACAUUUACUAUUCUUUUCCAUACAGCGAUGAACGAUUCAGAUUGAAUCUUUAAAUUUAUUUGACUAGUGCGCGUUCGCUGGUGCUUUUCUUUUCUUAUUAUUUCAGUCUAUAACUUCUAAGCAAAGUGUCUCUAUCUCAAACAACUCAUGUAUCUUAAAUUAAUAUGAAUGAUUGUUAAACUUAAACAUAAAAAUUU